RNAcentral lists this ribosomal RNA (401 nucleotides) under uncultured Pelotomaculum sp. Its description in RNAcentral is "bacterial SSU rRNA". It matches the Rfam family "Bacterial small subunit ribosomal RNA", at positions 986 to 1382 of the family's 1533-position model. The record is from RNAcentral. Lineage: Bacteria; Bacillati; Bacillota; Clostridia; Eubacteriales; Desulfotomaculaceae.
AUCCUCCUGACCGCAUAUGAAAGUAUGUUUUCUGGCUUCGGUCAGACAGAGAGACAGGUGGUGCAUGGUUGUCGUCAGCUCGUGUCGUGAGAUGUUGGGUUAAGUCCCGCAACGAGCGCAACCCCUACGUUUAGUUGCUAACGCGUGAAGGCGAGCACUCUAGACGAACUGCCGUUGACAAAACGGAGGAAGGUGGGAUGACGUCAAAUCAUCAUGCCCCUUAUGUUCUGGGCUACACACGUGCUACAAUGGCCGGUACAGACGGACGCAAAGCCGCGAGGUGGAGCAAAUCCUAAAAAGCCGGUCUCAGUUCGGAUUGCAGGCUGCAAUUCGCCUGCAUGAAGUCGGAAUCGCUAGUAAUCGCAGGUCAGCAUACUGCGGUGAAUACGUUCCCGGGCCUU